UACAGAGGGGGCAAGCGUUGUUCGGAAUUACUGGGCGUAAAGGGCGCGUAGGCGGCCUUCUAAGUCGAACGUGAAAUCCCCGGGCUCAACCCGGGAACUGCGUCCGAUACUGGAAGGCUUGAAUCCGGGAGAGGGAUGCGGAAUUCCAGGUGUAGCGGUGAAAUGCGUAGAUAUCUGGAGGAACACCGGUGGCGAAGGCGGAUCUCUGGGCCUUACCUGACGCUCAGGUGCGAAAGCUAGGGGAGCGAACAGG
RNAcentral lists this ribosomal RNA (253 nucleotides) under uncultured bacterium. RNAcentral's name for it is "partial 16S ribosomal RNA". It matches the Rfam family "Bacterial small subunit ribosomal RNA", at positions 524 to 776 of the family's 1533-position model. The record is from RNAcentral.